RNAcentral lists this ribosomal RNA (770 nucleotides) under uncultured bacterium. RNAcentral's name for it is "bacterial SSU rRNA". It matches the Rfam family "Bacterial small subunit ribosomal RNA", at positions 39 to 804 of the family's 1533-position model. The record is from RNAcentral.
GUUGCGCUGCCUUACCUGCAAGUCGAACGGCAGCGCGGGGCAACCUGGCGGCGAGUGGCGAACGGGUGAGUAAUAUAUCGGAACGUGCCCUGGAGUGGGGGAUAACGCAGCGAAAGUUGCGCUAAUACCGCAUACGAUCUAAGGAUGAAAGCGGGGGAUUCGCAAGAACCUCGUGCUCCUGGAGCGGCCGAUAUCCGAUUAGCUAGUUGGUGGGGUAAAGGCCUACCAAGGCAUCGAUCAGUAGCUGGUCUGAGAGGACGACCAGCCACACUGGAACUGAGACACGGUCCAGACUCCUACGGGAGGCAGCAGUGGGGAAUUUUGGACAAUGGGCGAAAGCCUGAUCCAGCAAUGCCGCGUGAGUGAAGAAGGCCUUCGGGUUGUAAAGCUCUUUUGUCAGGGAAGAAACGGUUGAGGCUAAUAUCCUUUACUAAUGACGGUACCUGAAGAAUAAGCACCGGCUAACUACGUGCCAGCAGCCGCGGUAAUACGUAGGGUGCAAGCGUUAAUCGGAAUUACUGGGCGUAAAGCGUGCGCAGGCGGUUUUGUAAGUUUGUCGUGAAAGCCCCGGGCUCAACCUGGGAAUUGCGAUGAAGACUGCAAGGCUUGAAUCUGGCAGAGGGGGGUAGAAUUCCACGUGUAGCAGUGAAAUGCGUAGAGAUGUGGAGGAACACCGAUGGCGAAGGCAGCCCCCUGGGUCAAGAUUGACGCUCAUGCACGAAAGCGUGGGGAGCAAACAGGAUUAGAUACCCCUGGUAGUCCACGCCCUA